UGGGAUUAAAAGGAUGUGCCACCUGCCU
Molecule: non-coding RNA, 28 nt
Filed under: Mus musculus (house mouse)
Lineage: Eukaryota; Metazoa; Chordata; Mammalia; Rodentia; Muridae
Source: RNAcentral